Molecule: long non-coding RNA, 353 nt
Organism: Pomacea canaliculata
Lineage: Eukaryota; Metazoa; Mollusca; Gastropoda; Architaenioglossa; Ampullariidae
Exons: 3
Source: RefSeq, a predicted model, not a curated record
UGUUGUAAGCGACUCUGAUUUCCAUUUUAGAUCUAGUCACAAUGUCUGGUUCUGAUUCGGAAAAUUUUUAUUCAGAGGAUAAUUCUGUUGUUAUCUCUGAGGAAUCUGAUGAAGAUAAUGUGAAAGAAGAUAAAGAAAAUAGUUUUAUUUUUCCAAACAAUACAACAACCGUUUGUGACAAAGACACUGUCGGAGAAACGGGCCAAACCUCACUGCCAUUCUCCUGAAAAUUAGCAGAGCUUAAAAUAAACGGCUUCAUCGUUCUCGAGAAAGCUCAAGGCUCUUGGCAUUUCUUAAAGCCUAAGCACUCCCUUUACCUGCUCGACUGUUGUGAUGUAUCACAUGGCCAAAAC